This 1182-nucleotide long non-coding RNA is filed under the name Callithrix jacchus (white-tufted-ear marmoset). RNAcentral describes it as "lncRNA (ENSCJAG00000087260.1)". Lineage: Eukaryota; Metazoa; Chordata; Mammalia; Primates; Cebidae. The record is from RNAcentral.
AACCCCAGCCCUGUCAUCUUUACUUGGUGGCUGGUGGCCUUUCAUUCGUUCUAUAAGAAUAAUUUAGCUUUUGGGAAGGGCUGCUAUUUAAACUAUAAAUUCCUCCCCAAGGCCAGUUCAGCCUACGCCCCGGAAUGGAUAAGACCGGUUUGGGGUGAGAAGAGGAAGUCGGUUAGGUCUGGUGCCCUUGGUCACGAUUUCGGGCCUGGUGCCCUCAGGGCGGUCGUGCCCUUGGUCACGAUUUCAGGCCUGGUGCCCUCAGGGCGGUCGUGCCCUUGGUCACGAUUUCAGACCUGGUGCCCUCAGGGCCGUCGUCCUUGGUCACGAUUUCAGGCCUGGUGCCCUCAGGGCCGUCGUCCUUGGUCACAAUUUCAGGCCUGGUGCCCUCAGGGCGGUCGUGCCCUUGGUCACGAUUUCAGGCCUGGUGCCCUCAGGGCCGUCGUCCUUGGUCACGAUUUCAGGCCUGGUGCCCUCAGGGCCGUCGUCCUUGGUCACGAUUUCAGGCCUGGUGCCCUCAGGGCGGUCGUGCCCUUGGUCACGAUUUCAGGCCUGGUGCCCUCAGGGCCAUCGUCCUUGGUCACAAUUUCAGGCCUGGUGCCCUCAGGGCCGUCGUCCUUGGUCACGAUUUCAGGCCUGGUGCCCUCAGGGCCGUUGCCCUUGGUCACGAUUUCAGGCCUGGUGCCCUCAGGGCCGUCGUCCUUGGUCACGAUUUCAGGCCUGGUGCCCUCAGGGCGGUCGUCCUUGGUCACGAUUUCAGGCCUGGUGCCCUCAGGGCGGUCGUGCCCUUGGUCACGAUUUCAGGCCUGGUGCCCUCAGGGCCGUCAUCCUUGGUCACGAUUUCAGGCCUGGUGCCCUCAGGGCCGUCGUCCUUGGUCACGAUUUCAGGCCUGGUGCCCUCAGGGCGGUCGUGCCCUUGGUCACGAUUUCAGGCCUGGUGCCCUCAGGGCCGUCGUCCUUGGUCACGAUUUCAGGCCUGGUGCCCUCAGGGCCGUCGUGCCCUUGGUUGCAAUUUCAGGGCAAUUCAGUGGUGUCUGUGCAUCUCUCAUCGUCUCCAGGUUUCGAGUCACAGUCAUUCCUCGAGCAGGAUGUUUACAGUGCUGCUGUGUUCUUCUGGAAUGCUUUGGAUUUAUUUUUAAAUUUAACUUGAUUAUUCCAGACACAUUUGGUGUGAGUGUGAGGUGA